GACUGAAUUACAUAAGGAUUCAUUUGAAGGCCUGCUAUCCCUCCAGUAUUUAGAUUUAUCCUGCAAUAAAAUACGGUAUAUUGAAAGACAUACAUUUGAAUCACUACCAUUUUUGCAGUAUAUAAAUCUGGGUUGCAAUUUAAUUACGGAACUGAGCUUUGGAACAUUUCAGGCCUGGCACGGAAUGCAGUUUUUACACAACUUAAUUCUCAGUCGCAAUCCUCUGACUGCUGUCGAAGAUCCAUAUCUCUUUGAACUGCCGGCAUUAAAAUAUCUAGACAUGGGAACAACGCACAUCACACUUACAACACUUAAGAACAUUCUCAUGAUGACUGUUGAACUGGAAAAACUGAUCUUACCUAGCCAUAUGGCCUGCUGCCUCUGCCAAUUUAAAAAUAGCAUUGAGACUGUCUGCAAGACAGUCACGCUGCAUUGCAACACUGCAUGUCUGACUAACAGCGUACAUUGUCCUGAAGAAGCAUCUGUAGGGAAUCCAGAAGGAGCGUUCAUGAAGGUGUUACAAGCCCGGAAGCAGCACACGAGCACUAAGCUGACUAUUGAGUCGGAGGCGCCCUCAGACAGCAGUGGCAUCAAGUUGUCAGGCUUUGGGAGUGAGCAGCUAGACAUCAAUGAUGAGAGUGAUGUUAUCAGUGCACUAAGUUACAUCUUGCCUUAUUUCUCAGCAGGAAAUCUAGGUGGGGAAUCAAUAUUGUUACCGUUCGCCAAACUGC
This 731-nucleotide small RNA is filed under the name Pongo abelii (Sumatran orangutan). Its description in RNAcentral is "retained intron". Lineage: Eukaryota; Metazoa; Chordata; Mammalia; Primates; Hominidae. The record is from RNAcentral.